This 460-nucleotide ribosomal RNA is filed under the name uncultured bacterium. Its description in RNAcentral is "partial 16S ribosomal RNA". It matches the Rfam family "Bacterial small subunit ribosomal RNA", at positions 338 to 795 of the family's 1533-position model. The record is from RNAcentral.
CCUACGGGGGGCUGCAGUGAGGAAUAUUGGUCAAUGGACGAGAGUCUGAACCAGCCAAGUAGCGUGAAGGAUGACUGCCCUAUGGGUUGUAAACUUCUUUUAUAUGGGAAUAAAAUGUUCCACGUGUGGGAUUUUGUAUGUACCAUAUGAAUAAGGAUCGGCUAACUCUGUUCCAGCAGCAGCGGUAAUACGGAGGAUUCGAUCGUUGUCCGGAUUUAUUGGGUUUAAAGGGAACGUAGGUGGGUUGUUAAGUCAGUUGUGAACGUUUGCGGCUCAACCGUAAAAUUGCAGUUGAAACUGGCAGUCUUGAGUACAGUAGAGGUGAGCGGAAUUCGUGGUGUAGCGGUGAAAUGCUUAGAUAUCACGAAGAACUCCGAUUGCGAAGGCAGUUCACUGGACUGCAACUGACACUGAGGCUCGAAAGUGUGGGUAUCAAACAGGAUUAGAUACCCUUGUAGUC